This 512-nucleotide ribosomal RNA is filed under the name Flavobacterium sp. FlavoEI_GT1r2CB6_F06_46. Its description in RNAcentral is "bacterial SSU rRNA". It matches the Rfam family "Bacterial small subunit ribosomal RNA", at positions 60 to 572 of the family's 1533-position model. Lineage: Bacteria; Pseudomonadati; Bacteroidota; Flavobacteriia; Flavobacteriales; Flavobacteriaceae. The record is from RNAcentral.
AGUCGAGGGGUAUAUGUCUUCGGAUAUAGAGACCGGCGCACGGGUGCGUAACGCGUAUGCAAUCUACCUUUCACAGAGGGAUAGCCCAGAGAAAUUUGGAUUAAUACCUCAUAGUAUUACGACUCGGCAUCGAGAUGUAAUUAAAGUCACAACGGUGAAAGAUGAGCAUGCGUCCCAUUAGCUAGUUGGUAAGGUAACGGCUUACCAAGGCAACGAUGGGUAGGGGUCCUGAGAGGGAGAUCCCCCACACUGGUACUGAGACACGGACCAGACUCCUACGGGAGGCAGCAGUGAGGAAUAUUGGUCAAUGGACGCAAGUCUGAACCAGCCAUGCCGCGUGCAGGAUGACGGUCCUAUGGAUUGUAAACUGCUUUUGUACGAGAAGAAACAACAUUACGUGUAAUGUCUUGACGGUAUCGUAAGAAUAAGGAUCGGCUAACUCCGUGCCAGCAGCCGCGGUAAUACGGGAGGAUCCAAGCGUUAUCCGGAAUCAUUGGGUUUAAAGGGUCCGU